Molecule: ribosomal RNA, 519 nt
Filed under: uncultured eukaryote
Lineage: Eukaryota
Description: SSU rRNA
Rfam family: Eukaryotic small subunit ribosomal RNA
Source: RNAcentral
AGGGCACCAGCGGGAGUGGAGCCUGCGGCUUAAUUUGACUCAACACGGGGAAACUCACCCGGCCCGGACACCGGAAGGAUUGAGAUAUUGAUAGCUCUUUCUUGAUUCGGUGGAUGGGGGUGCAUGGCCGUGCUUAGUUGGUGGAGCGAUCUGUCUGGUUAAUUCCAAUUACGAACAAGACUCUAGCCUAUUAAAUAGACGUCGGGUUCUCUGCCCUCGACGGCCUUCUUAUAGGGACAAGGUGCUUUUAGCACCGCUAAACAGAGCAAUAACAGGUCUGUGAUGCCCUUAUAUGUCCGGGGCCGCACGCGCGCUACACUGAAGGAAGCAGCGGGUAACAACCUUGUUCUAACGAACUGGGUAACCCGUGGAACUUCCUUCAUGAUUGGGAUAGGGGUUUGCAAUUGUGCCCCUUGAACGAGGAAUUCCCAGAAAACACUACUCAUCAGCUAGUGCUGAUUACGUCCCUGCCCUUUGUACACACCGCCCGUCGCUCCUACCGAUUGAAUGGACUACUGA